This is a long non-coding RNA of Homo sapiens (human), 980 nucleotides long. The record is from Ensembl. Lineage: Eukaryota; Metazoa; Chordata; Mammalia; Primates; Hominidae.
UUUUGCUUCUUCCUCAUUCUGUCUUGCCGCCACAAUGUAAGAAUUGUCUCUCACCCUCUGCCAUGUAAGAAUUCUCUUUCACCCUCUGCCGUGAUCGUGAGACCUUCCCCAGCCAUGUGAAACUUUUUCAGCUUUCCUCCACUGUUUUGGGAAACGUCACCUUCUUAUCUUGGAAGAGUAAUCUCAAAAUUGAAGCAUCUUAGAUCCAACAAGAAUUAAAAGGAUGGGAAGUCCUUGCAGCCAUCCAAUAGAGUCAGAAGACUUUGGAUUUUGGAGUCUGUGAGAUUAUCUUACAGAGCAAGACUGCAGAUCAAGAUUUUCCAACGUGGUGCUGACUUUUUUGAGAACAGUUAAUGAGAACUAGGAAAGUCCUUGCAGACCAUCCAGUCCAGCGGCUUUCAAAUGGAAAAUGUGAAAGGACAACAGAAUCACAUGGAUUCUUUUCUGAACUGCUUUUUUCCAGUGAUGCCAUAUUCUAUAAGACUUCAUGUGAAGGUGUGGAGGACGGGAUGUACUCACAUCCCAACAAAUUGAAAAUGCUGACCAAUCCCAGCACAGCCAACUCGAAUUUGCUCCUUCAUCAAAGUGACCAGCACCUCAUUUCUUCCUCUUUAGAAUUUAUAGAGUCCUAUGGCUAUUGAUAUCUAACAUCCUGGCUUCACUCACAUGGAUGAGCCCCACCUGGAAUGCCUAGAAGACGUGGGACAGCUGGAUCUCUCUCCACACGGUUUUUCAUUGUUGCCUCAGGUUCCAAUAAAAGCAAAAGCUGCAAGGUCUUCUGAGGCAAAGACUUAGAAAUACCACAAUGUUACUUCUGCUGCAUUCUGUUGAUAAAAGAAUCCCACAAUGCCAGCUUCAUUUAAAGGGGUAAAGAUAUAGAUUAUUCACCUUCGAUGGGAGGAACUGCAAAUGAUGUAAUUAGUGAUAAUUUUUAAUAUACUGUAAUGUAUUGACUUAUCUUUAAAAAAUGAAAAAAUAAA